GCCUUCGUAGUUCAAUGGAUAGAACGAGGGAUUCCUAAUCCCUAAAUAUAGGUUCGAUUCCUAUCGGAGGCACCA
RNAcentral lists this transfer RNA (75 nucleotides) under Candidatus Nealsoniibacteriota bacterium. RNAcentral's name for it is "Candidatus Nealsonbacteria bacterium tRNA-Arg". It matches the Rfam family "tRNA". Rfam says of the family: Transfer RNA (tRNA) molecules are approximately 80 nucleotides in length. Their secondary structure includes four short double-helical elements and three loops (D, anti-codon, and T loops). Lineage: Bacteria; Candidatus Nealsoniibacteriota. The record is from RNAcentral.